RNAcentral lists this ribosomal RNA (761 nucleotides) under uncultured bacterium. RNAcentral describes it as "bacterial SSU rRNA". It matches the Rfam family "Bacterial small subunit ribosomal RNA", at positions 28 to 776 of the family's 1533-position model. The record is from RNAcentral.
GAUGAACGCUAGCGACAGGCCUAACACAUGCAAGUCGAGGGGUAACAUUGUUAAAGCUUGCUUUAAUAGAUGACGACCGGCGCACGGGUGCGUAACGCGUAUGCAACCUACCCAUUACAGGAGGAUAGCCCAGAGAAAUUUGGAUUAAUACUCCAUAGUAUUUACUGAAAGCAUUUUUAGUAUUUUAAAAGAUUCGUCUGGUAAUGGAUGGGCAUGCGUAUGAUUAGUUAGUUGGUAGGGUAACGGCCUACCAAGACGACGAUCAUUAGGGGUUCUGAGAGGAUAGUCCCCCACACUGGUACUGAGACACGGACCAGACUCCUACGGGAGGCAGCAGUGAGGAAUAUUGGUCAAUGGGCGAGAGCCUGAACCAGCCAAGUCGCGUGCAGGACGACUGCCCUAUGGGUUGUAAACUGCUUUUAUAUAGGAAUAAUUGUUUUUACGUGUAAGAAUUUGAAUGUACUAUAUGAAUAAGCACCGGCUAACUCCGUGCCAGCAGCCGCGGUAAUACGGAGGGUGCAAGCGUUAUCCGGAUUUAUUGGGUUUAAAGGGUGCGUAGGCGGGUUCAUAAGUCAGUGGUGAAAGUCUGUCGCUUAACGAUAGAAUUGCCAUUGAAACUGUGGAUCUUGAAUACAGUAGAGGUAGGCGGAAUAUACUGUGUAGCGGUGAAAUGCAUAGAUACGAUAUAGAACACCUAUUGCGAAGGCAGCUUACUAUGCUGUAAUUGACGCUGAUGCACGAAAGCGUGGGGAGCGAACAGG